UACCCCGAGGAAAAGAAAUCAACCGAGAUUCCCCCAGUAGCGGCGAGCGAACGGGGAGCAGCCCAGAGCCUGAAUCAGUGUGUGUGUUAGUGGAAGCGUCUGGAAAGGCGCGCGAUACAGGGUGACAGCCCCGUACACAAAAAUGCACAUACUGUGAGCUCGAUGAGUAGGGCGGGACACGUGGUAUCCUGUCUGAAUAUGGGGGGACCAUCCUCCAAGGCUAAAUACUCCUGACUGACCGAUAGUGAACCAGUACCGUGAGGGAAAGGCGAAAAGAACCCCGGCGAGGGGAGUGAAAAAGAACCUGAAACCGUGUACGUACAAGCAGUGGGAGCACAGAGCAAUCUGUGUGACUGCGUACCUUUUGUAUAAUGGGUCAGCGACUUAUAUUCUGUAGCAAGGUUAACCGAAUAGGGGAGCCGAAGGGAAACCGAGUCUUAACUGGGCGUUAAGUUGCAGGGUAUAGACCCGAAACCCGGUGAUCUAGCCAUGGGCAGGUUGAAGGUUGGGUAACACUAACUGGAGGACCGAACCGACUAAUGUUGAAAAAUUAGCGGAUGACUUGUGGCUGGGGGUGAAAGGCCAAUCAAACCGGGAGAUAGCUGGUUCUCCCCGAAAGCUAUUUAGGUAGCGCCUCGUGAAUUCAUCUCCGGGGGUAGAGCACUGUUUCGGCAAGGGGGUCAUCCCGACUUACCAACCCGAUGCAAACUGCGAAUACCGGAGAAUGUUAUCACGGGAGACACACGGCGGGUGCUAACGUCCGUCGUGAAGAGGGAAACAACCCAGACCGCCAGCUAAGGUCCCAAAGUCAUGGUUAAGUGGGAAACGAUGUGGGAAGGCCCAGACAGCCAGGAUGUUGGCUUAGAAGCAGCCAUCAUUUAAAGAAAGCGUAAUAGCUCACUGGUCGAGUCGGCCUGCGCGGAAGAUGUAACGGGGCUAAACCAUGCAC
Molecule: ribosomal RNA, 949 nt
Filed under: Escherichia coli
Lineage: Bacteria; Pseudomonadati; Pseudomonadota; Gammaproteobacteria; Enterobacterales; Enterobacteriaceae
Description: partial 23S ribosomal RNA
Rfam family: Bacterial large subunit ribosomal RNA
Source: RNAcentral